AGUGAACGCUGGCGGUAGGCCUAACACAUGCAAGUCGAACGGCAGCACAGUAAGAGCUUGCUCUUACGGGUGGCGGGUGGCGGACGGGUGAGGAAUACAUCGGAAUCUACUUUUUCGUGGGGGAUAACGUAGGGAAACUUACGCUAAUACCGCAUACGACCUACGGGUGAAAGCAGGGGAUCUUCGGACCUUGCGCGAUUGAAUGGGCCGAUGUCGGAUUAGCUAGUUGGCGGGGUAAAGGCCCACCAAGGCGACGAUCCGUAGCUGGUCUGAGAGGAUGAUCAGCCACACUGGAACUGAGACACGGUCCAGACUCCUACGGGAGGCAGCAGUGGGGAAUAUUGGACAAUGGGCGCAAGCCUGAUCCAGCCACACCGCGUGGGUGAAGAAGGCCUUCGGGUUGUAAAGCCCUUUUGUUGGGAAAGAAAAGCAGCAGGUUAAUACCCCGCUGUUCUGACGGUACCCAAAGAAUAAGCACCGGCUAACUUCGUG
Molecule: ribosomal RNA, 492 nt
Filed under: uncultured bacterium
Lineage: Bacteria
Description: partial 16S ribosomal RNA
Rfam family: Bacterial small subunit ribosomal RNA
Source: RNAcentral